AACAGUAAUAUUCCAACAACCAAAUUUUUAAGUGCUGCAACGGUCAAAUUAUUUAUUGGUUUUAAUUUCUUUUAUUUAUUUUAUUCUUUCCUAGCUCUAUAAAUAGAGAACUCUUCCCCCAUUUCAAAACAGAACAAGUUGAGUCUUUCUCAUUCUCCUAUCUCUUCUUAGUUUUAUUCUCUUUUCAUCCUGGGUAUAAACUCUAUCAGAGUUUCUUGCUUCUUGCUAGUUCUGUGAUCCUCGAAUACAUUUCGAGAAGUUCCAAUUGUAUCCUAGGGGACUUGCGC
RNAcentral lists this long non-coding RNA (287 nucleotides) under Vigna radiata. RNAcentral's name for it is "long non-coding RNA (VRAD_LNC008918)". Lineage: Eukaryota; Viridiplantae; Streptophyta; Magnoliopsida; Fabales; Fabaceae. The record is from RNAcentral.